GACGAACGCUGGCGGCGUGCCUAAUACAUGCAAGUCGAGCGAAGUUUUUCUGGUUCUUGCACUAGAAAAACUUAGCGGCGAACGGGUGAGUAACACGUAGAGAACCUGCCUCAUAGACUGGGACAACUAUUGGAAACGAAAGCUAAUACCGGAUAACAGUAUUUCUCGCAUGAGAGAUAUUUAAAAGUUGGUUAUGCUAACACUAUGAGAUGGCUUUGCGGUGCAUUAGCUAGUUGGUGGGGUAAAGGCCCACCAAGGCGACGAUGCAUAGCCGACCUGAGAGGGUGAUCGGCCACACUGGGACUGAGACACGGCCCAGACUACUACGGGAGGCAGCAGUAGGGAAUCUUCCGCAAUGGGCGAAAGCCUGACGGAGCAACGCCGCGUGAGUGAAGAAGGAUUUCGGUUCGUAAAGCUCUGUUGUUAGGGAAGAAUGGAUAUGUAGUAACUAUACAUGUAAGAGACGGUACCUAACCAGAAAGCCACGGCUAACUACGUG
RNAcentral lists this ribosomal RNA (499 nucleotides) under uncultured bacterium. RNAcentral describes it as "partial 16S ribosomal RNA". It matches the Rfam family "Bacterial small subunit ribosomal RNA", at positions 28 to 507 of the family's 1533-position model. The record is from RNAcentral.